GACGAACGCUGGCGGCGUGCUUAACACAUGCAAGUCGAACGGAGCGAAUGAAAGCUUGCUUUUAUGAGCUUAGUGGCAAACGGGUGAGUAACACGUAGACAACCUGCCGACAGGAUGGGGACAACAUUCCGAAAGGAAUGCUAAUACCGAAUGAAGCGGAGGAGAGGCAUCUCUCCUCCGUGAAAGAUGGCCUCUAUUUAUAAGCUAUCACCUGUUGAUGGGUCUGCGUCUGAUUAGCUAGUUGGUGAGGUAACGGCUCACCAAGGCGACGAUCAGUAGCCGGUCUGAGAGGAUGAACGGCCACAUUGGGACUGAGACACGGCCCAGACUCCUACGGGAGGCAGCAGUGGGGAAUCUUCCGCAAUGGGCGCAAGCCCGACGGAGCAACGCCGCGUGAGUGAAGAAGGUCUUCGGAUCGUAAAGCUCUGUUGACGGGGACGAACGUGCGGAGUGCGAAUAGC
This 461-nucleotide ribosomal RNA is filed under the name Centipeda infelix. RNAcentral describes it as "bacterial SSU rRNA". It matches the Rfam family "Bacterial small subunit ribosomal RNA", at positions 28 to 467 of the family's 1533-position model. Lineage: Bacteria; Bacillati; Bacillota; Negativicutes; Selenomonadales; Selenomonadaceae. The record is from RNAcentral.